Non-coding RNA from Elaeis guineensis (African oil palm), 614 nucleotides. NCBI's taxonomy places the organism in Eukaryota, Viridiplantae, Streptophyta, Magnoliopsida, Arecales, Arecaceae. The record is from RefSeq and is a predicted model, not a curated record.
GAAAUUUAUGAUCAUACUCACAAAAGAAAGAAUGGAGAAUAUAUUUUUGAGAAAGCAAAAUCAAUGAUUAAAAACUAUGUGCAAUAGAGCCAAGAAAAAUAUGGUGAUGAUCCAUCCUCUCAACCAAUGAUGGAUGGACAGUUAUGGUUGGAAGCAACUGGAGGGUCUAAGAAUGGAAAAGUUACUGGGUUUGGAAAUAGCCUGAACAAGAAUUUAGUCUUGCCCUCUUGUGCCUCCUCAUCAUUUGUGCCUUCUUCACGUCCUUCAACUCAAGAGUCCAACUCAGAUUGCACUUUAUGUAGUGCAUUUCAAGCAGAAGUUAGAAAUGAGCUUCGAGAGUUUCGAAGUAUAUUUCAGGAGUUUAUGAUGUCAAUGAGAGCUUUGACUCCUAAUCCACCGUCACCUCCACGGGAGCCCGUAUCGCAUGCACCCCGACAUCAACGUGAUGAAGACGAGGCUUUUAAUAAAAACACGGGGGAAGAUGAUUGAAAUACAAUAGUAUUAAUGACUUGGAUGGAAAGAAUAUUAUAUAUGUUAUGGAUUUGGUUUUGAAUAUUAUUUAUUAGACGUGUUUUAAUUGUCAAUAUAAUUUUAUGUGCUUGGUUUUGAAAUAU